RNA transcript from Beta vulgaris subsp. vulgaris (sugar beet), 1529 nucleotides. It is a transcript of the gene named tyrosine aminotransferase, with no coding region annotated. Lineage: Eukaryota; Viridiplantae; Streptophyta; Magnoliopsida; Caryophyllales; Amaranthaceae. The transcript has 7 exons. The record is from RefSeq and is a predicted model, not a curated record.
CCAUACAGCGCGAGACAGUUUGUUUGGGAGAGAGACAGUGGGAGAUGGAAAACAAUGAAAGCAAGCUAUGGAGAUUCAACAAGAAGUAUGAAAAAGGAGAUGGAAAAAUGUCGGAAGACAAUAAAAGAGCAAUGACAGUGAGAGAAGCUUUAAGUAUGCUAAAGGGAAAUGUUAACCCUGAAGAUAAGCGCCCACUCAUUCCUAUGGGCCACGGUGAUCCCUCUCCUUUCCAUUGCUUUCGUACAGCGCCUGCUGCUGAGGAUGCUGUGGUUGCUGCUCUUCGCUCCGCCACCUUCAAUGGCUAUUCCGUCACUCACGGCCUUCCCUCCGCCAGGAAGGCUGUGGCAGAAUACAUUUCAAAGGAUCUUCCUUACAAGUUAUCCCCAGAGGACGUUUACUUGACUGUUGGAUGCAAACAAGCAAUUCAAGCAGCAAUAACUGCUCUUUCUUUACCUGAUUCCAACAUACUAAUGCCAAGGCCUACUUUCGCCAUGUAUGAUGCGGUUGCUGCCUUUACAGGCCUUGAACUCCGCCACUAUGAUCUUCAACCGGAAAACGGAUGGGAAGUUGAUUUCAAGUCAGUUGAAGCUCUAGUAGAUAACAACACAGUGGCUAUCGUUAUUAUAAACCCUGGUAAUCCUUGUGGAAGUGUAUAUACUUACCAACAUUUACAAAAGGUGGCAGAAACUGCAAGAAAGUUUGGAUUGCUUGUUAUUGCUGAUGAAGUAUAUGAGCACAUCACUUUUGGUAGCAAGCCCUUUGUUCGAAUGGCAGUUUUCGCAUCCAUUGUGCCUGUUCUUACACUCGGGUCCUUAUCAAAGAGGUGGGUUGUUCCUGGUUGGCGCCUUGGUUGGCUUGUAACAACUGAUCCAAAUCACAUCUUACAAAAAUCUCAGUAUGUGGAGCGUGUCAAAGCCUUUUUCAGCAUAAAUGCUGAUCCUCCAACGUUCAUUCAGGCAGCAGUUCCUCAAAUAAUUGAGAAGACAGAAGAAGAAUUUUUUUCAAAAUGUAUCAAUGUGCUGCGGCAAGAUGCAGAACUUAUUGUCGAGAAACUGAAGGAGAUUCCUUCGAUUACAUGUCCGAAUGAGCCGGAAGGUUCCAUGUUCGUAAUGAUAUGUAUUGCAGGUGAAGUUAAAUUUGUCUAUGUUGGAUGGAAUACAAGAUGAUGCAGAUUUCUGCAUGGAGCUUGCUAAACAGGAGAGUAUGAUUAUUUUACCUGGUUCUACUGUCGGAAUGAAAAACUGGCUUCGUUUAACAUUUGCCCUUGAGCCAUCAGUUCUUGAACAAGGUCUUGAAAGGCUAAAGUGCUUUUGUCAAAGAAAUGCAAAGGUAGAAUGAGGUCCCCCUUAAGCCUGUAUGAGAUUAAUAAAGAUGUACUACGAAUGAUGAUUGACAACUUCAAUGUUGUAAUUCACCCUUUUGUCAAUGUCUUGGAACCAAUUUGUCACCUUUCAAGUGUUGUACUGAAUUACCAAUACGCUUUAUUUUACAUCAAGAGUAAAUAGUUUCUUGUGUCCUUUUUUUCUCUA